CACACAUGCAAACGAUGUGGGAGAAAAUCUUUACUACAAAAUCCCUUUCAUGGGUCUGGAGGAGCUGGCUGCUUGCACAGUGGGAUGUGGCAUGUGCAAUAACCUCUGACUUUGUUGGGAAACAGUCCCAUGCACUGCUGUUUGCUUUAGCCCCUGAUGGCUAACUUCUGCUUCAGGAGCUCUGGGCUGGAGCCACUGUACUGUACUUCAUAGCGCUUCACGGUUGCUGAGAUUCCAUCCUGGCAAAUCUGCCUGUGUCUUUGUCCACUAAGGACCUGAGAAGAAUUUAUGGCUCUCUCCAGGUGGGGCACCUUCAACAGAAGACCACAGCAGUCAAUAUAGUGGGAAAUAUAGGAGACGUAGCCCCCACCCCAACCUCGUAGUCCUGCUCCUCUUCCUCGCUCUACACUCAGCAGGAUCGAUAGCAGCGGCUAGAACCUGGUGGAAGUCCGGCUCCACCAUGAUCACGGCAGAAGGAGACUCUGCAUGGCAGGAAAAGAAAUCAUCUCUUAAAAAAAAUCAAUUAUUCUUGCAAUGUCACCCUGUGGCUAUUUUCUUGUUUAUGGAAACAGAUUGUGUUGAAACACAACUUCCCAUAGCCCUCUACCUUUUCCCUAGCCGGGAUCAACUCUGAGCAAAGAUAAAGACCAACACUUCACACAGCCUCUACAGGGCUGAGUCUCCCCAUGGGUCUCUGCCCCCCUUUCCGCUAAGACCGAUUGCGCCACAUUAUGACAGCUGCUUGGACCACAACAUAGCUGAAUGGGCUGAACAUGUGGCAAAAAAGGCUGUAACCCUGCAGUCAUGGGUUUCAGAUAUGGAAUGUCUUCAAAAGCGAGGGUGCUGCUGGGAGCUAACCUGGCCGUUUGGGGAGUGGCAGCUCCAGUCUUCCUCUUCCUCAGAGUGCCUAGGAGGAUCCCAGUGCUGACGGGAAGCGGAAGGCGAGGGGGGAGGGCCAUGAAGCAACAGAGCAGAUCUGCAGCCCCCAAGUGCUCCUGUGUGUCCCUGCUGUCUGUCUCUGCAUGCAUCUGCAUCAUGCAUGAGUCCAGGUUCAUAUCACAGUAUGCUCUCGACUAAGCUGGACAAUAUCCCCCCAGUUGAUUACCUUUCUUCUAUAUGCUGCCUGCUGAAUACAAUGCCAUUCAAUCCCAGAAUGCAAGCAACCACUGAGAAGGUAAAAAAAAAAGCAUCCUUACUAAGUAAGUAUAACUGCAUUCAGAGACAUAGCUACAGGACAAGUAUGACUGGCAAUGGCCGGGGGCCCUGAGCUGGGGGUGGGUGAUUACAUAGUACAUUGCAAUGACUAAUCUGCUUUAUUUGUGUAUUCUGUUUUUCACACGAGUAAAAAUAAAGGACCUAUGUUUAUUAAAUUUUCUGUGUUGAUAUCAUGGGGGUUUCUUGCCUAGGGCCUCCAGAGUCUCUAGAAUCUCGUCUGAGUAAACAUAGCGGGUAUCUAUGAAACGGAGGGAGGGGAAGAACUGAAAAGGAUAUACUUUAUGGGGGUGGUCUGUGGCUCUGAUAUACUUUAUGGGGGUGGUCUGUGGCUCUGAUAUACCUUAUGGGGGUGGUCUGUGGCUCAGAUAUACUUUAUGGGGGUGGUCUGUGGCUCUGUGGGUUUGGCUGCUUUGCCUGUGAAUGGAAGGUCAUGGGUUUAAAUCCCAGGGUCAGCAGAGGGAUUUCACCGCUUAGUCCUUCAGCAAGGCCUGUAACCCCCAGGACUGCCUGACCCUGCCCUUCUGUCACUUUGAUAAGUAAAUUUAUACUUUCAUAUUAAAAUGUGUGACUGGCAACAUUUGUAUAAAAUGUUUACAUGCCAUGCAAUGUCAGCGAGACUGAAAACGAGCCACGCUAGACUUGACUUUGCGUGUGAGGUCAUACCUCGCAUCUCACAAGCCGGCACAUUAGGAGGCUGCUUUGUCCAAAAAGCCAUCAUUUCCACUAACUGGAAAAUUAGCACAUUCUGCUUCAAAACUUGCCAUCCCCGGAUGAAUAAUUUAUUAUGACCUUUUAAAAUAUUUAAAAUUAUUGCAGCCGGUUUUGCAAGUGUAGCCAGUGUUUGGAAGCAAGGUGGAAAAAAAGAAUGCAAGAAAACAAAAAAUUACCAAAAAAAGUCAAAUAAAAUAAGGUUCAGGGUAACACAGUAAAGAACAGGUAGAUUUAUGGGAACUCAGAAGGUGACUAAUGCUUGCUGCACCGCCAUGAAAUGAGGUACUCGGAGACACUGAGAACAGUAUUCACACAUAUAAGACUUUCACCCCAUGCAAAACCAUACAGAAGGAAAUAACCUUUAGUUCCCUGUUUUACUAGCCCUGGAUUAUUCCUGCUACAAGCAAGGCUACUAGACCCCAGUGACUAAACUCUGCCCUUUUAAGUUCUCUGGAAAAUCCUUUACGCAUCUGAGUGUCAUAAUCUCCACCCAACACCCCCUCCUCCACACCUCCAUUCUCCCUUCUGCAUUAAAUUCAGACAUCCUUGAACAGCUCUGUGUGACUGGGCCGCUCAACAGAAGGGCCAGGGUUUGAGUUUUAUUAAGAGUGACCUUCAAUAUGCUGCUGCUUCGUACAAUAUGUCACUUGAAACACCGGUCGCCACAGGCCCUCGGCACGACACAGCUCACCCGCUCCCCCCACCUCACCCGCUCCCCCCCACCUCUCGUGCUCAGCAUAUCUGCUGGCUUCAGCAGCCAGACAUCUUUGAGGAGGAGAUUCGGGUACAGAAAACCCCAAUGGGAUCACACCAGGAGGUACUGCGUUUUAAACUCUACCAUUAAUAUACACAGUGAAACUUAAACAUUAAUGUAUCACAUGCCAAGAAAAAAAAAAAAUUAAAAUGGCCGCCUUGCUCAGUGAGACAUCACCCGCUGAGUACACAUAUUCGAUGGCUGCGUUCCCUGUCAUUUCCUUCUUCGCAAAACUACUUCCUAUUAACCCGCACCAUUUCCCUGGGCCAUGAUUGAUAGGAGGGUUAAGGUAUUUUCUGACUCAGUAACCCGGCUGACUAUAAUUCCAUUUCGGGGACUGGGAACCCCCCGGCUCCUGUCGGUGCGGACUGCAUCCGCCUGUCAGGGUGUUAGUGGAAAAACAAGCCAUCUUUAGCGUUCCGUCAUGCCUGAUGUGUGAAAAACGUGACUCAUCAUCUCAAGACGAUGUAGUUUAUAUUAAUUGUCAAAGGCUACAUCUUUGUGUCGAAUGUUAUCCUAAUUAUUGCUGGCUUGCAUGUCACAGAAUGUUGUUCUGAGGUAUUAUAUAUCCUUUUCGUUGCAUAAUAGCUAAUUGAAUUUUUGUGAGAUUUCGGUUGCCAUUUUUUUCCACACAAGUCACACCUUAGGUGUCUCUCUUUUGGCUUCCUCCUUCCUCCUGUCCUAGUGCUCCUGCCGCUCUUGGCAGACGUGGAGGAAACAUCGUGGAGACAGCGAGUGGAAAGCGAUGUUACCUUUUAAAGGUCCUUCAAAUCUGCGAUUCUACUUGUCAUUGCCUGUGCGCCCAGCCCAUAAAUCCACUUUGUAUCUCGGGAGAACAGCGAGUGACGCUUCCGGGUUCUUCUUCACAGAAGGAAUCCUCCCGUCUAUCCAAUAAUACUCUCCUAUGAAUUUCACGCACGCCGUCAGUUGCCGAGGCAAUGUAAGGUUAAGCAGAAGCUGAAGGCACUUCUGGAGGACACUGUCCGUGCAUUGACCGCUCAACAUUCGAAAGCCGUUUUUUUCUGUGUUUCACGCGCACAUUUAGCAGCCAAUCGAGGGCGUUCAUCUACGUGCGUCUUACGGUGACGCGGGGAGCCACAGGAGAGCCGGCUGCCGAGAGAAAAGUGCCGAUAUGGCUCAACGGAAACGCUAUUAGGGGCCACAUAUCAAACACGUCUGGGGCCUCCCCGAGGGACCAACAUUGCUGAUCCAUCUACGUCUGAGUCCUCAUGCAGUACUUCAGGGUUCUGAUAUGGCCGUGCUGUUGGCAACAUCAGUGUCGCCACACACAGCAGGAGCAGAGAGAUGAAAACGCAGCAGACAGAAAGCAAAUAGGCUGGGAUGAGGAGGACAAGGCAGACAGAGCUGCAGAUGGAUGCCAUGAUAGAGAGGCACGCAUAGUCAGACUGACAGACUCAUUUAUAUGGCGUACAAUCAGCCUGCACCAUCGAGACGUGCUUCUCCAGCUCCUCCAUGGCCUUUUCUUUCCCCAUUUUGCGGGAGAUUAAUGAGGAUUAAUUAUGCAAAUGAAGCGUCCAGGAUUUUCCAAGCCAAAAAAAAAAAACCUUCAUUUUUCAUACAACAAUGAGAGCAUCGGCUAUUAGAGCGAGGAAGUGAUUUGCGAUGGAGUCGGCACUUACACAGGUUCCGAUAUUCCCCUGUAAUUUUGGCAUUGUCCUGCCUAGACGUGAACACGGUGAUAUCCCCUAUUCAUAUAUUUCAAUCAAUUUUAGCUGCCAGUCUCCUACAUUUUUGGGUGCUUUCUAUCACACAGAAUGAACCUGUAUAUAUAAAGCAUGCAAACACAUGUAUGUAUGAUUACUGUGUUGGACUCCACAUUGACUCUCACAUUAACGCAAUUCUUCAGUACAGCAAAACUCAAAAUCAAGUUUUUUUCCAAAAAACUUUGUAUUCUAUUUAAGUUAAUUCAAGCAUUUUGCCUCACAAUGUUCUGUUUUUAGUAGCUCAGUAUAACCUUUUUUUUCGCAACACCAUAUAAUUUUGAUCUAUUUGCACAGAGUAAUGGAGUAAUUCACACUAAGCACCUGAUUAAAUUGUACGACGCCACCUCUUGGGACUUGAACCAGCACUCUUUAGGUUCUUAUGGUUUUAUUCACUACCUGCUGUAUAAGCACAUAUGGCCAUUGUUCCUUUGUUAAUUAAAACUUCUUUUUCUCCUUGCAUAAGUCAUUGCAAAGUAUCACUUUUAUUAGCAGGACAUCUAUAGUUAAUAAUUGUUGCUAAUUACUGUAGCAAAGCAGCUGUUUAUCAUUUUAAGCAGCUGAAUUUAUACAUACAUUUUUAUGUUGAAAAGCUGAAACCCUUAAAAGGUAAUUGUGGUAUAAUCCUCAAAUAAUACUGUGGUAUAUUUCAUGGUGUAUUGUACUAUGGUUUUUCUGUAGUAUUACUGAAUUCUGAAAGUUCCCGUUUUUGGUUUUCAAACCAAGAUGAUUAACCCUGGGGCUAUUCAUAAUUGACUGGUGAUCAUCAGCCUAGGCAGAAAAUAAAGCGUUUAUCCACGGACUACGGGAAAUAACGGUGACAGCAUUGUUGGCCUCCAAAGAACCAGGAUACAAGUCCUUCCAGAAAGCAGACAUGGGGGAUCAUAAAGGACACAAAGGUCCUGCUCCUGGAGCUGUGGUGAUGAGAGCUGCAAGCCGGAGGGACUGAGUCAGAGUUGGGCCAUUUGCGCACCAUCGCGCUGAGGUUAAAGAAGGGAUGGGCUCCAAGACCCUACGACCCUGCAUAAGACAUACACUCCAUAGUGGGUAGAGAAGAUGGAUGGAUGGAUGGAUGGAUGGAUUACAUCAAAAAGAAAAUAAAACUUUGCUAACUAUAUAUUUGCUUGUUUAGUUUUUGUUUUCUAAGGUAAGUCCUGCAGCACUGAAAGCCUCCCACUUACAUCGGAUGCUUACCAAGUCAAAUCUUUAAUAUAUUGGUCUGAUAUUAAUAAUAAAAAAAAAAUUUGGUGGGAACACAUAAAAAUGACUGCCUUUUCAAUACUGUUGAAUGCAAUCUUUGAAGCAACAUCCUUCAGUGAAUAUAUAUAUUUUUCUUUUCACAGCGCCUUUACAUAAAGUACCACGCAAAAGUCUUUUGCAGUCAAAGAAAUGUUUAAAGCUACUUAUCAGGGUAGAAAGUUUAUAUUUGCACAGAAAAAAACACAAUUUAACAUUAUAACAUGUGCAAAUUAAGAAUAACACAAUAAAAGUUAAAAAGAAUUUGUUCUUUUCUCCAAAAAGUUACAGAUAUAUUUUUGGAUGGCUAGAGGAACACAGCUCAAAUAACCCUAACCUCUCUUCAGGGGCACCACAGCCAUUCUGUGUAUUUAUUAAAUUUACCCAACAGCACAGUUAAUUAAUUAAUCAAAUUUGUUAACUUGAUAAGGUUUUGAUUAGCCAAACAAGGCCUGCUGGUGGUCAAAAUGGAUGUAUUGGACAGUUGCUGGAGAUACUGGGGUGACUUUAGGAGAAGUUUUGAAAGAGAUAAGCUGACAUGCUUUGACAGUUUCACACAAACAUGGACAUAAUUUAAACAUCAUUUGCUUUUAAGUCUUUUGCGCAGUACCGUCCACACACACACAUACAAACAAGACAGGGAGCAAGUUAGUAAAACGCAAUGUUCUCAGACCAAGAAGCCACACAGUCUGCCAAGUCAAGAAUGACAAAAGGCUUCAAAGGAACAUUCCAGGUCUGCGAGAGUGAUGGGAAAAUUACUGCCGUGCAGCAGCUUCCAGCUGAGCAAAGUCCCCCCCGACCGCUGAUUGAAGGUUUUCAGGAUUUUCAGCACUCUGCUGCACAGUGCCUGGUUUUCAUCUGGUCAGGCCCAAUCAUAAGGUCUUUGCACACAUGAUUAAGAUUCUCUGCAUUUUCUACAGGUUACAGCA
Non-coding RNA from Paramormyrops kingsleyae, 6566 nucleotides. The record is from RefSeq and is a predicted model, not a curated record. NCBI's taxonomy places the organism in Eukaryota, Metazoa, Chordata, Actinopteri, Osteoglossiformes, Mormyridae.